UACGUAGGGUGCGAGCGUUGUCCGGAAUUAUUGGGCGUAAAGAGCUCGUAGGCGGUUUGUCGCGUCUGCUGUGAAAACUCGGGGCUCAACUCCGGGUCUGCAGUGGGUACGGGCAGACUAGAGUGCGGUAGGGGAGACUGGAAUUCCUGGUGUAGCGGUGAAAUGCGCAGAUAUCAGGAGGAACACCGGUGGCGAAGGCGGGUCUCUGGGCCGUAACUGACGCUGAGGAGCGAAAGCGUGGGGAGCGAACAGG
RNAcentral lists this ribosomal RNA (253 nucleotides) under uncultured bacterium. RNAcentral describes it as "partial 16S ribosomal RNA". It matches the Rfam family "Bacterial small subunit ribosomal RNA", at positions 524 to 776 of the family's 1533-position model. The record is from RNAcentral.